Benincasa hispida (wax gourd) is the source of this 1797-nucleotide RNA transcript. It is a transcript of the gene named E3 ubiquitin-protein ligase AIRP2-like, with no coding region annotated. Lineage: Eukaryota; Viridiplantae; Streptophyta; Magnoliopsida; Cucurbitales; Cucurbitaceae. The record is from RefSeq and is a predicted model, not a curated record.
GCUUUAUCAAAAAGGAAAAAAGAAAAAGAAAAAAGAAAUUGAAGCCAUCCCCCCAACAAACCCAUAAUGGACAUUGGACUCUGCCAUUCAUCUUCAUCAUCAUAUCUCAGCUGAAACUUGUUCUUCUUAUAAGAAAGCUUCUUUUCCUGACCACAGAGGCUUAGUAAAGGUCAUUUCACUGCCAACCCUCCAUUGACUAAAGAACAAAGCUCCUUAAAAGCUCGAGAAGAAAAAGCUUCUUUUUGGGUUUCGAAAGUAGGUUUGGGGCUUACCUUCUCCAUUUUCAGUUUCUUCUUUUGUUAAGGGAUUUCGGGUCUUCAGGGUUUCUUCUUUCGCCAUACCCACUAAAAAAAUCAGCUUCACGCUCUGGUUUUCUUCUUUUCUCUCUUGUUUUUCAUCGGUUUCUUGCAGAAGAGGGAAGGGAAUCUUUCAGAUUAUGUAUUAUCAACUGGAGAAAUUCUCUCAUCAGGAUUCUCUGGAAGUCUUGGAAGCGGAUAUUCAGUAUGCAAAUUCUCUGGCGGCUGCAAUCCCCAUGGCAAAAGGGGGUGUUUAUCUUCAAAUGAAGUUGGUUUAUAAUCACUUGGCUCCCAUUGUUUUGUUUUUGCUACAAUGGAUGGAUUGUUCUUGCACUUGCUUGCUUCCAAGAUAUUUAAACCUCUUCCACAUACUUGUGUACAAGGUAUAUCCAGAGGGAAAACAAAAACGAAAUAUAUCCAGGCAUGGAAGGAAGGCAACUAUUAGGGACUUCUAUGCUAUAAUAUUGCCUUCACUUCAGCGAAUCCAUGGUAGCUUGGAUAAGUUGGACGAUUGCAAGGAAGGGCAUCACUGGAUUGAGAUGUCUAGCAAGAAGAGAGGUGAUAAAGAUGGUAGGCUUAUGAACAUCGAUAUGAAACGAGAAGAUGAGUGUGGUAUUUGCUUGGAGCCCUGUACAAAGAUGGUUUUGCCGAAUUGCUGUCAUUCAAUGUGCAUCAAAUGCUACCGAAAUUGGAACACAAGGUCAGAGUCCUGUCCAUUUUGUCGUGGCAGCUUAAAGAGAGUCAACUCAGAGGACUUAUGGGUGCUCACCUGUAGCGAUGAUGUGGUUGAUGCCGAAACUCUUUCCAAGGAGGACAUGUUGCGCUUUCAUCGCUAUAUAAACAGCCUUCCAAAAGACUAUCCAGAUGCCCUCUUUGUAGUAUAUUCGGAAUAUCUAAUUUAGUUCAGACUUCAGAGUAAACUGUAUAGAGGGAAAUCCCAACACAAAAUGUAAAGUUUGUGGGGUCUUCCCUUGGAACUUCAACUCUCUGAGCUUAUCGUGAGUUAGUCUGUUUAUCGAUCAUGGUAUAUAAGUCAUCCUGUUUUCUCGUGUGGGGGUUAUAAUUAUGUCAUCAACAAGAUAGCCUAUGAUUAAUAAUCAUGGUUGGCUGAAGUACAAUAAUUUGCGAGAAAGUAAUCUGCUGUCCAAAGGAAUUGAAAAUGAUUGAAAAUCCACUUUGAAAGCAAUGCUCAUUGCAGAAAACAGACUGAGAUAGAGAAAACCGUGGGGAGAUAUUUCUCUGCCAAAAGCAUCAUCUUAGACUGAUUGAGAUUCUGAAAUCUAAGGUCUAAAACAAGGAGGAGGAAUGGUUAACAUAUUGACUUGGAUUGCAGGAGUUUGAAUAGCCUUUUCAUUUAGUACACAUUUGAGUUUUUCCUGAUGUUAGACUACACAUUGAGAAAUGAAUGCUUGUAAUAUUUUUCUGCUCAUAAGUUGUACCUCAUAUUGACUUAUUGACUUUGAAUGUCGAACAUCCUCAAAUAAGACAUAGACUUAAGACA